Molecule: ribosomal RNA, 253 nt
Filed under: uncultured bacterium
Lineage: Bacteria
Description: partial 16S ribosomal RNA
Rfam family: Bacterial small subunit ribosomal RNA
Source: RNAcentral
UACGUAGGGUGCGAGCGUUGUCCGGAAUUACUGGGCGUAAAGAGCUCGUAGGCGGUCUGUCGCGUCUGCUGUGAAAACUCAGGGCUUAACCCUGAGCUUGCAGUGGGUACGGGCAGACUAGAGUGCGGUAGGGGAGACUGGAAUUCCUGGUGUAGCGGUGAAAUGCGCAGAUAUCAGGAGGAACACCGGUGGCGAAGGCGGCUCUCUGGGACGGUACUGACGCUGAGACGCGAAAGCGUGGGGAGCGAACAGG